UACGUAGGGUGCAAGCGUUAAUCGGAAUUACUGGGCGUAAAGCGUGCGCAGGCGGUGAUGUAAGACAGGUGUGAAAUCCCCGGGCUUAACCUGGGAACUGCAUUUGUGGACUGCAUCGCUGGAGUGCGGCAGAGGGGGAUGGAAUUCCGCGUGUAGCAGUGAAAUGCGUAGAUAUGCGGAGGAACACCGAUGGCGAAGGCAAUCCCCUGGGCCUGCACUGACGCUCAUGCACGAAAGCGUGGGGAGCAAACAGG
RNAcentral lists this ribosomal RNA (254 nucleotides) under uncultured bacterium. Its description in RNAcentral is "partial 16S ribosomal RNA". It matches the Rfam family "Bacterial small subunit ribosomal RNA", at positions 524 to 776 of the family's 1533-position model. The record is from RNAcentral.